UACGAAGGGGGCUAGCGUUGUUCGGAAUUACUGGGCGUAAAGCGCACGUAGGCGGAUAUUUAAGUCAGGGGUGAAAUCCCGGGGCUCAACCUCGGAACUGCCUUUGAUACUGGGUAUCUUGAGUAUGGAAGAGGUAAGUGGAAUUGCGAGUGUAGAGGUGAAAUUCGUAGAUAUUCGCAGGAACACCAGUGGCGAAGGCGGCUUACUGGUCCAUUACUGACGCUGAGGUGCGAAAGCGUGGGGAGCAAACAGGG
Molecule: ribosomal RNA, 254 nt
Filed under: uncultured bacterium
Lineage: Bacteria
Description: partial 16S ribosomal RNA
Rfam family: Bacterial small subunit ribosomal RNA
Source: RNAcentral